Long non-coding RNA from Saccostrea cuccullata (small rock oyster), 605 nucleotides. RefSeq lists it as uncharacterized. The transcript is spliced from 4 exons. The record is from RefSeq and is a predicted model, not a curated record. NCBI's taxonomy places the organism in Eukaryota, Metazoa, Mollusca, Bivalvia, Ostreida, Ostreidae.
GAUUGUGUAGUAUUUUAAUUGUUUCAAAUCACUAGUACUGUUGAUGUGAAAUGAUUUUUCUGAGGAAAAGAGAAAUGUUUGUUAAAUCGUUCGUUUUUUGAUUAUCGAAAAAGAAGAAGGAGAAAAUGGAUUGAUUGAGAUAGGGAUCCAGGAGGUACCGAAAAAGGGACAAUGCUUCGGCUGAAUGUGUCAUUCAUUUACAUGUACCAGUAUAGAUCUGUUACUGAGGCAUAUCCAAUAAUUCUUAUACUCAUGAAGAGUAUGGCAUAUUCCAAGAAUUGAUGCUGGGACUCAUUUUAAAUCAGAUGCUCUCACUUCUAGGAUGUUUCCAAGUUCUUGUUAAAAGUGUUUGAUAUGGCACCAUUCAGCUACAAAUAUUUUGCCAGUGGAACUGUGACAUCAAUCAAUUGCUCAUGCACUGCUAAUUGGCAGAGAAUUUCCUUUGGGACAAGCAAACUGUUUCAAACAUUUUACACCAGCAAGUAGUGAUGAGUGUACUGGAAGGUUUUAAGGAUCUCUUCCAACAUCAUAGGUACAACUGGUCACUGUGCUUGCUUGGUUAUAUAAGCUGGCAUAUUGUUAAGGCAGUGACAUAUGUAGCUCCA